GUGAAUCAUCGAAUCUUUGAACGCAACUUGCGCUCUCUGGUAUUCCGGAGAGCAUGCCUGUUUGAGUGUCAUGAAAUCUCAACCAUUAGGGUUUCUUAAUGGCUUGGAUUUGAGUGUUGCCAGUCUCUGGCUCACUUUAAAGGAGUUAGCGAGUUUAACAAUGUCGUCUGGCGUAAUAAGUUUCGCUGGUAAGACUUGUGAAGUUUGCUUCUAAUCGUCUUCGGACAAUUACUUUGACUCUGGCCUCAAAUCAGGUAGGACUACCCGCUGAACUUAAGCAUAUCAAUAAGCGGAGGA
RNAcentral lists this unclassified non-coding RNA (297 nucleotides) under Apiotrichum sp. Its description in RNAcentral is "partial contains 5.8S ribosomal RNA, internal transcribed spacer 2, and large subunit ribosomal RNA". The stretch from base 1 to 71 matches the Rfam family "5.8S ribosomal RNA", at positions 84 to 154 of the family's 154-position model. The record is from RNAcentral. Lineage: Eukaryota; Fungi; Basidiomycota; Tremellomycetes; Trichosporonales; Trichosporonaceae.